AGAGUUUGAUCCUGGCUCAGGAUGAACUUUGGCGGCGUGCUUAACACAUGCAAGUCGAACGAAGCAAUAGGAAGGAAGUUUUCGGAUGGAAUUCAUAUUGACUGAGUGGCGGACGGGUGAGUAACGCGUGGGUAACCUGCCUCAUACAGGGGGAUAACAGUUAGAAAUGACUGCUAAUACCGCAUAAGCGCACAGAAUCGCAUGAUAAUGUGUGAAAAACUCCGGUGGUAUGAGAUGGACCCGCGUCUGAUUAGCUAGUUGGUGGGGUAAAGGCCUACCAAGGCGACGAUCAGUAGCCGACCUGAGAGGGUGAUCGGCCACAUUGGGACUGAGACACGGCCCAAACUCCUACGGGAGGCAGCAGUGGGGAAUAUUGCACAAUGGGGGAAACCCUGAUGCAGCAACGCCGCGUGAGUGAAGAAGUAUUUCGAUAUGUAAAGCUCUAUCAGCAGGGAAGAAGAUGACGGUACCUGAGUAAGAAGCCCCGGCUAACUACGUGCCAGCAGCCGCGGUAAUACGUAGGGGGCAAGCGUUAUCCGGAUUUACUGGGUGUAAAGGGAGCGUAGACGGCAUAGCAAGUCUGAAGUGAAAGCCCAAGGCUCAACCAUGGGACUGCUUUGGAAACUGUUAAGCUAGAGUGCUGGAGAGGUAAGCGGAAUUCCUAGUGUAGCGGUGAAAUGCGUAGAUAUUAGGAAGAACACCAGUGGCGAAGGCGGCUUACUGGACCGUAACUGAACGUUGAGGCUCGAAAGCGUGGGGAAGCAAACAGGAUUAGAUACCCUGGGUAGUCCACGCUGUAAACGAUGAAUGCUAGGUGUUGGGGAGCAAAGCUUUUUGGUGCUGCUGCAAACGCAAUAAGCAUUCCUCCUGGGGAGUACGUUCGCAAGAAUGGAACUCAAAGGAAUUGACGGGGACCCGCACAAGCGGUGGAGCAUGUGGUUUAAUUCGAAGCAACGCGAAGAACCUUACCAAGUCUUGACAUCCCGGUGACGCAUGUAGAAAUAUAUGUUUUCUUCGGAACACUGGAGACAGGUGGUGCAUGGUUGUCGUCAGCUCGUGUCGUGAGAUGUUGGGUUAAGUCCCGCAACGAGCGCAACCCUUAUUCUUAGUAGCCAGCAGGUAAAGCUGGGCACUCUAGGGGGACUGCCGGGGAGGACCCGGAGGAAGGCGGGGAUGACGUCAAAUCAUCAUGCCCCUUAUGGCCUGGGCUACACACGUGCUACAAUGGCGUAACAGAGGGAGGCGAAGCCGCGAGGCGGAGCGAACCCCAAAAAUAACGUCCCAGUUCGGACUGCAGCCUGCAACCCGGCUGCACGAAGCUGGAAUCGCUAGUAAUCGCGGAUCAGAAUGCCGCGGUGAAUACGUUCCCGGGUCUUGCACACACCGCCC
RNAcentral lists this ribosomal RNA (1389 nucleotides) under uncultured bacterium. Its description in RNAcentral is "bacterial SSU rRNA". It matches the Rfam family "Bacterial small subunit ribosomal RNA". The record is from RNAcentral.